RNAcentral lists this ribosomal RNA (699 nucleotides) under uncultured Planctomycetota bacterium. RNAcentral describes it as "bacterial SSU rRNA". It matches the Rfam family "Bacterial small subunit ribosomal RNA", at positions 96 to 806 of the family's 1533-position model. The record is from RNAcentral. Lineage: Bacteria; Pseudomonadati; Planctomycetota.
CGGCAACGGCGUAGUGAUACGUAGGUACGUACCCUUGGGUUGGGAAUAGCCACGGGAAACUGUGGGUAAUGCCCAAUAAUCUCUGCGGAGCAAAGGUGUGAUUCCGCCUGAGGAGCGGCCUACGCGAUAUUAGCUAGUUGGUGGGGUAAUGGCCUACCAAGGCGAAGAUGUCUAGGGGGUGUGAGAGCAUGGCCCCCACGACCGGAACUGAGACACUGUCCGGACACCUACGGGUGGCUGCAGUCGAGAAUCUUCCGCAAUGGGCGAAAGCCUGACGGAGCGACGCCGCGUGCGGGAUGAAGGCCCUUGGGUUGUAGACCGCUGUCAGAGGGGAUGAAAUCAUGGUUGGCAAUCCUUCCAUGUUGACAGAGCCUCAGAGGAAGCACGGGCUAAGUACGUGCCAGCAGCCGCGGUAACACGUACUGUGCGAACGUUAUUCGGAAUCACUGGGCUUAAAGGGUAUGUAGGCGGUUUGGGAAGUCAGAUGUGAAAUGCCACAGCUCAACUGUGGCACUGCGUUUGAAACUCCCAGACUAGAGUACUCCAGAGGUGUGCGGAACUGCCAGUGGAGCGGUGAAAUGCGUUGAUAUUGGCAGGAACACCAGAGGCGAAGGCGGCACACUGGGGGAUAACUGACGCUGAGAUACGAAAGCCAGGGUAGCGAACGGGAUUAGAUACCCCGGUAGUCCUGGCUGUAAA